This 239-nucleotide unclassified non-coding RNA is filed under the name soil metagenome. Its description in RNAcentral is "partial contains 5.8S ribosomal RNA, internal transcribed spacer 2, and large subunit ribosomal RNA". The stretch from base 1 to 115 matches the Rfam family "5.8S ribosomal RNA", at positions 35 to 154 of the family's 154-position model. The record is from RNAcentral.
GAUGAAGAACGUAGUGAAACGCGAUAUUUCUUGUGAAUUGCAGAAGUGAAUCAUCAGUUUUUGAACGCACAUUGCACUUUGGGGUAUCCCCCAAAGUAUACUUGUUUGAGCGUUGUUUCUCUCUUGGAAUUGCUUUGCUCUUCUAAAAUUUCGAAUCAAAUUCGUUUGAAAAACAACACUAUUCAACCUCAGAUCAAGUAGGAUUACCCGCUGAACUUAAGCAUAUCAUAAGCGGAGGA